UUUCCGUAGGUGAACCUGCGGAAGGAUCAUUAUUGUAUAACCGAGGUGCGAGGGCUGUCGCUGACCCGAAAGGUCGUGCACGCCCGAGUGCCCUGACACACCUCCAUCUCACCCCUAUGUGCACCACCGCGUGGGUCCCCCUUUGGCUUGUUCGGAGGGGGGCUUACGUUUUCACACAAACUUUGUAUGCAGUGUAGAAUGUAUUUUUUGUUUUUUCGGUCACGCAAUCAAUACAACUUUCAACAACGGAUCUCUUGGCUCUC
This 263-nucleotide unclassified non-coding RNA is filed under the name plant metagenome. RNAcentral's name for it is "partial contains small subunit ribosomal RNA, internal transcribed spacer 1, and 5.8S ribosomal RNA". The record is from RNAcentral.